CUCUCAUCCUUGGUGUUCUUUGGAGCAAGAACGAAAGAUUGGUUGACCCUUGUUCUUGCUUGAUUGAAGCUUCAAAUUCAUCCCUCUCCUUGAUUUUAGAGUGGAGCUUGAAGAUCCAACCUUGUCCUUCAAGAUCUAGAGGCGGAGCCUUUCUCUACUGUAAUGGGAUGUCUUCAUGGCCACCCUGUUAAGGUGGCGUGAAGACACGGAUUUACCGUCCAAUUCAAAUGGUGUGUAGAACCCUGAUUGGAUACACAUCAGGAAUCCGGAGUCACCACACAGAUUCUUGAUGAGACAAUGUCAAAGUUAUGAAAGACCUUGACGGCUAUCAACUUAGUCAGGACGAGCUUCAAUAGUUGGCGCCGAGGUGGAGUGAUGGGCA
This is a long non-coding RNA of Dioscorea cayenensis subsp. rotundata (Guinea yam), 382 nucleotides long. RefSeq lists it as uncharacterized. The record is from RefSeq and is a predicted model, not a curated record. The transcript is spliced from 4 exons. Lineage: Eukaryota; Viridiplantae; Streptophyta; Magnoliopsida; Dioscoreales; Dioscoreaceae.